Molecule: ribosomal RNA, 327 nt
Filed under: uncultured eukaryote
Lineage: Eukaryota
Description: partial 18S ribosomal RNA
Rfam family: Eukaryotic small subunit ribosomal RNA
Source: RNAcentral
CCCUUAGAUGUUCUGGGCCGCACACACGCUACACUGAAGGAGGCAGCGUGUACUCCUGGAUCGAAAGAUUUGGGUAACCCGCGAAUCUCCUUCGUGCUAGGGAUUGAGGUUUGCAAUUAUCCUUCAUGAACGAGGAAUUCCCAGUAAGUGCAAGUCAUAAGCUUGCGCUGACUACGUCCCUGCCCUUUGUACACACCGCCCGUCGCUACUACCGAUUGAAUGAUUUAGUGAGGACUUCGGACUGGGACCGAUGCGGCUUUCGGGCUGCGUCGGUAUUCUGGAAAGAUGUCCAAACUGUAUCAUUUAGAGGAAGUAAAAGUCGUAACA